RNAcentral lists this small nucleolar RNA (135 nucleotides) under Dicentrarchus labrax (European seabass). RNAcentral's name for it is "Small nucleolar RNA SNORA5 (ENSDLAG00005002044.2)". It matches the Rfam family "Small nucleolar RNA SNORA5". From Rfam's summary of the family: ACA5 is a member of the H/ACA class of snoRNA that guide the sites of modification of uridines to pseudouridines. Lineage: Eukaryota; Metazoa; Chordata; Actinopteri; Moronidae. The record is from Rfam by way of RNAcentral.
UGCAGCCUUGUCAAAUUCAGUGUGUUCUUUUCAGUGGACUUCACUGGCCAAAAUGGCUGCCACAGAGAUUGUAGUUCAUGGGCCCCACAUCCUUACACCGUGGGAAGUGGGGAUAAAUAUGUACUACAGACAAGU